RNAcentral lists this unclassified non-coding RNA (1333 nucleotides) under Hevea brasiliensis (rubber tree). Lineage: Eukaryota; Viridiplantae; Streptophyta; Magnoliopsida; Malpighiales; Euphorbiaceae. The record is from RNAcentral.
AGUCCAUGGUGAUGUUUUCAGGCCACCUCUUAACUCUGGCCUGCUGUGUGUUUAUGUCGGAACCGGAGUUCAGUUCUUCGGGAUGACCCUGGUCACUGUGAUAUUUGCAUUAUUGGGAUUCCUCUCUCCCUCAAACCGUGGGGGUUUAAUGACUGCCAUGGUUCUUCUGUGGGUCUUCAUGGGCAUAUUUGCUGGCUAUGCCUCGGCUCGUCUCUAUAAGAUGUUCAAAGGAGGAGAAUGGAAGAAGAUCACCUUGAAAACUGCAUUCAUGUUCCCUGCUAUUGUCUUCUCUGUCUUCUUUGUGCUGAAUGCUUUAAUCUGGGGGGAGAAGUCAUCUGGUGCAGUUCCUUUCGGUACCAUGUUUGCUCUGGUAUUCCUGUGGUUUGGUAUAUCAGUGCCAUUAGUCUUUGUGGGGAGCUAUCUAGGUUUCAAGAAACCGGCCAUUGAGGAUCCUGUGAAGACCAACAAGAUACCGAGGCAGAUACCCGAGCAGGCUUGGUAUAUGCAGCCAGUGUUCUCGAUACUGAUUGGUGGUAUACUUCCAUUUGGCGCAGUCUUCAUCGAGCUCUUCUUCAUCCUUACGUCCAUUUGGCUGAACCAGUUCUAUUACAUCUUUGGGUUUCUCUUCAUAGUCUUUGUGAUCCUUCUCAUAACUUGCGCGGAGAUAACAAUUGUGCUCUGUUACUUCCAGCUCUGCAGUGAGGAUUACUACUGGUGGUGGAGGGCGUAUCUUACUGCUGGUUCCUCUGCACUCUACCUUUUCCUAUAUUCAGUAUUCUAUUUCUUCACCAAGCUGGAAAUAACUAAGUUUGUAUCGGGCGUCCUCUACUUUGGGUAUAUGCUGAUUGUGUCUUAUGCAUUCUUUGUGUUGACGGGUACCAUCGGCUUCUACGCCUGUUUCUGGUUUGUGCGCAAGAUAUACUCCUCAGUGAAGAUAGAUUGAUGCUGUGCCAGGAAAUGCUAGGGUUUUAUCAGGUUCUUGGGUGUAAUUGGCAUGGAGAUCGUACUGGGGUCAGUUCGUAAAAAAGUUGGUCACUAAUGGAGGCUUAUCUCAGUGUUUACCUACCCGGCGUAGUCAUACAUUUUCCAGAUUUAACACUUCUAAUUGUAUGUGGCCAAAAGGAGUGCUAGAUUCAAAUUAGUUUGCAUCUGUUUCCUUCAGAACUGAUGUUAUUGGUCAUUAUAUUGUAACUCUUUUUUGCUCUAGUAUUGUGUCGAUGUAGUAAACAUUUGCUGUCUUAAAAGUUCUGAGUAUAGGUUUGGCAGCCCUGAUAAUGGGGGUAUGAUGUUUGUUAGAAUUUAAGUUUGUAAGAACAAUCUUAUUUCACUUUGC